RNAcentral lists this ribosomal RNA (690 nucleotides) under uncultured Acidobacteriota bacterium. Its description in RNAcentral is "bacterial SSU rRNA". It matches the Rfam family "Bacterial small subunit ribosomal RNA", at positions 15 to 737 of the family's 1533-position model. The record is from RNAcentral. Lineage: Bacteria; Pseudomonadati; Acidobacteriota.
GAUCCUGGCUCAGAAUCAACGCUGGCGGCGUGCCUAACACAUGCAAGUCGCACGAGAAAGGGUAGCAAUACCUGAGUAAAGUGGCGCACGGGUGAGUAACACGUGAAUUAUCUACCUCCGAGUGGGGAAUAACUGAGAGAAAUCUUAGCUAAUACCGCAUAACACUUACGAGUCAAAGCAGUAAUGCGCUUGGAGAGGAGUUCGCGGCAGAUUAGUUAGUUGGCGGGGUAAUGGCCCACCAAGACGAUGAUCUGUAUCCGGCCUGAGAGGGCGCACGGACACACUGGAACUGAAACACGGUCCAGACUCCUACGGGAGGCAGCAGUGGGGAAUUUUGCGCAAUGGGGGAAACCCUGACGCAGUAACGCCGCGUGGAGGAUGAAAUCCCUUGGGAUGUAAACUCCUUUCGAUAGGGAAGAUUAUGACGGUACCUAUAGAAGAAGCCCCGGCUAACUUCGUGCCAGCAGCCGCGGUAAUACGAGGGGGGCAAGCGUUGUUCGGAUUUAUUGGGCGUAAAGGGUGCGUAGGCGGUUUGGCAAGUCUUGUGUGAAAUCUUUGGGCUCAACCCAAAGCCUGCACAAGAAACUGCCGGGCUUGAGUAUGGGAGAGGUGAGUGGAAUUUCCGGUGUAGCGGUGAAAUGCGUAGAUAUCGGAAGGAACACCUGUGGCGAAAGCGGCUCACUGGACCAU